UCUCAUGUAUGAACUGGGAAGAGUCCCGGCCUCGCAGGGUGCGCACCGCAAAGUGGACCCAUGAACAAGUGGACCGUGAACAAGUGCAAUCGCCCCGAGUCCCCGGCUGACAGGAAGUACUCGGCACAGAUCCAGGGGUCAGCGGCCGAGAGUUGAGGAGGCCAGUGCAGGGCAGGGACGGUCCUCUGCACCCGUGACUCAGAGCAGAGGAAAGCUCGCUCACCCCGCAAACUACCCUGCAAUAGAGAGCGGCCAAAGCACAUGCCCGUUCCAGGAGCUCGGGGCCACCCAAGGGCAUGCACCAAAGGACACGCUGUGGCCCCAGCCAUGUCACAGAACAAGGUACCGGGAUGAGCUCACGUUGGAGCUGAGCCCGGAGCUGAGGAGAGGCAGCCGUAAAGGCACCAGGGAGUCCAGGCGGUGGCACGGCGGGCGGCCCAGAACUAGGGCGCGCGGCAGGCACGGCGGCCCCGGGUCAGACUGCGGCAGGCACAACCCUCACGUGUCAACCGAGAAAGAGAAGCUGCUGUUCGGAAGCCUCGGAGCCUGACACCUGUCACUGAGGAAGGGGACGUGCUCGGACACGCACUGGGGAGGGGACCUGAGAGGCGCCGGCCUGGAGGAACAGUGGUCAGGGCAGGGAGGGGUGGUCAGACAGACAAACCGACAGAAGACCCGACUCAGGACGUCAGGUAGGAAAGUCUCUGAGGGACACUCCUGCAGGUGGGCCCCACUGGGCUCCACCCCCAACCCCCUCGAUGCCAGCACGACCCGCACACAGCUCUGCCGCCGGUCACCACAGGAAACGGCCCUGAUGCCCAAGAGGCCGUGCCAGCUCAGCAAAAGGGAUGGCCCACUGAUGCCAGCUGGAGCUUUGGGGGACAAGUCUUCAGGCCUCCAGCCUGGGACACAGGGGCUGCCGGAUGGACUGAGAAGACAAAUACUCAGACAGAUCGAGAGCAAAACACAGAAUCGGCUGCAGGGACGGGAACUGCCAGGGAAGGAUGGGAGCCGCCACUCCUGGGUUUCCCUGCCGCAGGUGCAGGCUGCCUGCUCAGGGCGCCAGCACGCCCCCUCCCCACCACGGCUGGCACGGAGGGUUUGGUCAGUCUGCGACUCGGAUUCAGUGUCUGACAGGAAGGGGGGGCCGUCACCGGGACCUAGGGCAACCCCCAGCUCCGCUCCCCAGCUUCCUGCUCUGGCAGUCUACUGAGCCCUCAUCUUCUCUGCCAAGGGAAGAACUAAGGCGCCUUGUCGUCGCCUCUCCAGUGGCUGAAAUCCCAUCUCUACUGCUCAGAACCUGACUACCCUCCGGCAACUUUUGAGAUGCCCACAGCUUGCCCGGAUGCCCUUCUGCCACGAGCUCCUGUGCCCUGCUUGUUCUAGGAGCGCUGCUGCACCAUGUCCUGACCCGGAACCCACGCUGCCGAGGCUCGCUGCAAAGACACAGACCACCACGGGCCUGGCGGGCGCGGCAGCACGGCGGGCACGUCUCCCUAGCGUGGGCUCUCUGUUAUGCUGCGGCACACUCCUGUUCAUCCUUCUUCCUGUACAAACAGCCCAGCAUGAGCGUAAGGCCACAGGAGAAUAAGCUGACGUGAAUUUCUAUGUCUAUUUACAAAAAGCAUGUUUUACAUACGUGUGUGUACACACACAUAUACAUACACCCACACGAUCCUCCUAGCGUGCUGAAAUUUCUAAGUACAGAGGUACGUUUGCAUCCAUCCAUCUACACAUCAUUAAAAAUAAAAAAAAGAGAACUGGCGUCUGGGGGCUGCUUUCGGGGACAGAACCUGCCCACGUGGGUGGCCAGCUCACUGCCUGCAGGGUGUGACCUGAAGACAGACCGUCUGCAUUUCCUGUGCCUGUCACUCGCACCCAGCAGGUCCUCAGGCCAGCACCUCACGUCUGCCCCUCCUCGCCCAGCUCCUCAGGCCUGUGCAGGCCCACUGGGCAGAGUUGGCGGUGAGUGACAGGCACGGGAGGAGAAGCCGAUGGGGUGGAGAGGGACCCCCAGGUGACACGAGGAAGAACAGCCCACUGACAGACACCUGGCGACUCGGUCACUGCCCAAACAUUCCCAGCCCCUCCUGCCAACACAGGACCUGAAGGCCUGGGAGGGUCCCUCUCCCCAAGCAGAGGACGGACAGCGAGAGGAAGACAGAGGGGCCACCGUCCCCAGGCCAAACAGACGCCUGGCUAACAGCCGUCUGUGAGAGGGCCCAGGCCCUCCGGGGUGGCGGUUGCCCAGGUGACGUGAGGGAAGAGGCCGAACGUGAAGGAGAAACAGGUAUUUCAGAGAAGUGACACGUGUCCCUGCCUUGAUCAAUCACCAAGAAUAUCCUAAAUGCAAGGAAGUAAAGUUUUAAAAAACCGAAAAAUUAAAUGGACUUUGGAAGGCACUUAAAACCCCAAAUCUAGCUCACUUUCAAGAUCAUCAUUCAACACACCCUGGCUCAAGACGAGGGGGACCCACGUGAAUGGAUUUAGCAACGCAAGCCACCCCUGCCUUGGGGCAUCAUGUUCUUACCAAAUGCAAAACUGCCGGACACACUCAAUCUCGCCCCGGAGAAGUCCCAGCCUGAACCCACAGAGACCGAGCGUGGGCCACAAACAAGCGCCCACAGCCUCGGUGCCUUGGCACACUGGCCCGGCCGCCCACCUG
Molecule: long non-coding RNA, 2665 nt
Organism: Artibeus jamaicensis (Jamaican fruit-eating bat)
Lineage: Eukaryota; Metazoa; Chordata; Mammalia; Chiroptera; Phyllostomidae
Exons: 4
Source: RefSeq, a predicted model, not a curated record